AUGCAAGAGAGUGCUAGAAAGGAUGUGGAACGUGCUUUUGGUGUGCUUCAAUCCCGGUGGGGUAUCGUUCGAAACCCUGCACUGUCAUGGGAUGCAAGAAAGCUUUGGGAGGUGAUGACUGCUUGUGUAAUCAUGCACAACAUGAUCGUGGAGGACGAGCAUGAUGAGAGUAUCUUCGACCAAGGAUUUGAUUAUCAAAGUGAGAAUGUUGAGUCCCUGCACGUGGAACGACCACAUUUGAAUAGUUUGUCCAAUUCCAUCGUGAGCUGCGUGAUUAGCACACUCAUUCGGAUCUUCAAAAUGACUUGGUUGAGCACGUGUGGGAUCACAUUGGCAACCAAUAGAUGUAUUGGUUCAUUUUAUGUUCAAGACAAUUUUGAUUUGGUUGUAAAACUAUUUUAUUAG
RNAcentral lists this ribosomal RNA (405 nucleotides) under Triticum aestivum (bread wheat). RNAcentral describes it as "partial small subunit ribosomal RNA". The record is from RNAcentral. Lineage: Eukaryota; Viridiplantae; Streptophyta; Magnoliopsida; Poales; Poaceae.